Molecule: ribosomal RNA, 495 nt
Filed under: uncultured bacterium
Lineage: Bacteria
Description: partial 16S ribosomal RNA
Rfam family: Bacterial small subunit ribosomal RNA
Source: RNAcentral
GACGAACGCUGGCGGCGUGCCUAAUACAUGCAAGUAGAACGCUGAAGGAGGAGCUUGCUCUUCUGGAUGAGUUGCGAACGGGUGAGUAACGCGUAGGUAACCUGCCUGGUAGCGGGGGAUAACUAUUGGAAACGAUAGCUAAUACCGCAUAAGAGUAGAUGUUGCAUGACAUUUGCUUAAAAGGUGCAAUUGCAUCACUACCAGAUGGACCUGCGUUGUAUUAGCUAGUUGGUGGGGUAACGGCUCACCAAGGCGACGAUACAUAGCCGACCUGAGAGGGGGAUCGGGCAAACUGGGACUGAGACACGGCCCAGACUCCUACGGGAGGGAGCAGUAGGGAAUCUUCGGCAAUGGACGGAAGUCUGAACGAGCCAAGCCGCGUGAGUGAAGAAGGUUUUCGGAUCGUAAAGCUCUGUUGUAAGAGAAGAACGAGUGUGAGAGUGGAAAGUUCACACUGUGACGGUAUCUUACCAGAAAGGGACGGCUAACUACGUG